UUGAUACUUUUCCCCAAAAAUCAUUUUGAUUUAUAUUUAGCUGCUUGGGGGUGUGAGGGGAAGAAACACAGGAAGCUGGUCUAGACACCAGGGAUUUGACACUUUUUCUUUGACCGGGAUUGUCCACUUCUUUCUAGGGUGGGUGCAAACUGAAUCAUACAGUUGAGAAACUGAGUACUUUGGCAAUACUGUCACCUGCACGCAUGAAAGAGGGGCAGCAUUUCAUAUGGGAUCUGCAUCAUGACAGCUCUAUAUACCUAACCAGAACCCAAGCUACUGUGUAAGGAAACCACAUACUACUGCGAGCAGAAAAUAACAAAUUGUCCUUUUCUGCUCAAACACCUUCAGAGACCAUCGCUGUCAAGAGAAAGGAAAUGCUCUGGAAUAUUUGGGGUUUACAUCUGUGUUCCCCAGCACAUCUGGCUUCCGUUUUUCAGAUGUGAAUUCUGUAGGAGGCCAGUUAUGCUCAGACCUGAGCUGUCACAACACAGAAGAAAAUGUACCAACAGGAUGACUAAGCAGUCUUGUUUUGAAUUCCUAAAUAAUGACCAGCAUGAGUCAACCUGGCAAAUUCUGAAGUCCACAGAAGAAAACUGAUGCAAAAUAGAAAGGAUAAAUAAAUGCCAUUGGGAAUGCAUUAUAUAAAAGUUCUUAUUGCCAGCACCUGAAAAAAGGACUCUAAGUGUUGCCUCCUAAUCUCAUCCCCACAUGCUAGCUACAGUACCAUCUAAUUGUAAGGCUUUCUAAUCUAUGGCACGAGACUGUAGAGCCUAAAAUGCUACCGAUGUUUGCAAUAAACAGUUCCUUUAUGGCAUGCACCCUC
Strigops habroptila (Kakapo) is the source of this 823-nucleotide long non-coding RNA. RefSeq lists it as uncharacterized. Lineage: Eukaryota; Metazoa; Chordata; Aves; Psittaciformes; Psittacidae. The transcript is spliced from 2 exons. The record is from RefSeq and is a predicted model, not a curated record.